Molecule: unclassified non-coding RNA, 365 nt
Filed under: soil metagenome
Description: partial contains 5.8S ribosomal RNA, internal transcribed spacer 2, and large subunit ribosomal RNA
Rfam family: 5.8S ribosomal RNA (bases 1-120)
Source: RNAcentral
GAUGAAGAACGUAGCGAAAUGCGAUAACUAAUGUGAAUUGCAGAAUUCCGUGAAUCAUCGAGUCUUUGAACGCACAUUGCGCCCCCUGGUAUUCCGGGGGGCAUGCCUGUCCGAGCGUCAUUACAACCCUCAAGCCCGGCUUGUGUAAUGGGCGGCCGUCUCUCCCCCCGGGGGGAGACGCCCCCGAAACUCAGUGGGGAUGUCGCGAUACCGAAGCCUCAGCUAAUGGGUAAACCACAGCUGCAAUGGCCGCGGCCGGCGUCCGCCUUCCACGGUCCGUCCGCCUAGCGCGGGCGGCCUUCUCAAGGUUGACCUCGGAUCAGGUAGGGAUACCCGCUGAACUUAAGCAUAUCAAUAAGCGAGGA